This 134-nucleotide transfer RNA is filed under the name Dactylellina haptotyla CBS 200.50. It matches the Rfam family "tRNA". Rfam says of the family: Transfer RNA (tRNA) molecules are approximately 80 nucleotides in length. Their secondary structure includes four short double-helical elements and three loops (D, anti-codon, and T loops). The record is from Rfam by way of RNAcentral. Lineage: Eukaryota; Fungi; Ascomycota; Orbiliomycetes; Orbiliales; Orbiliaceae.
GGGAUUGUAGUUCAGUUGGUAGAACGUUUCUUUCGCACUCCAAGAAGAAGCUCUCUCUCGAUCACCAGAGAAAAGAGUUAUUCGAGUCGAAACGCACCUAGAAAAGGUCUUGGGUUCAAUUCCCAACAAUUCCA